UUAAUAUUUUCAGUGAAUCAUUUACAAUUGGCCAUAUGCGGCCAAUCGUUUUUGUUAGCCCAGCUAUCUAUAGGUAAUCAGAAAGCUUAUCAUCAAUUGCAUUGAAUUUAUACACAAUGCGUAGAUCUAUGACAGUAAAAAACAAAAAAUUGUGACAGCCAAAAAACUAUAGUUGUAAUUUUUAGAAAACACGCGGCCUCGGACAAUAAGCACUGUGCACAUACUUUGGCCAAAUUAAUUGAACAGACAUGUGUCUUCCAACUUGAAGCAGGGAUAACAGAUACCGAGAUAUGUAAUCAUGACAGAAGUGUACUAGAAAUACAAAACAAUUAGCUGGAAUUUCAGAGUGCUUUUCAAUGUACUUCAACUGGUUAUCUAUAAAAGUUAGUAUCAUUCGACGGGAAGUGCCAUUUCCUCAAAUGUAUCUAGUCAAGUUUCACCAAAGGCCAGCAGAAAAUUGUAAAAUUCCUUUCAGAUGUGUUGGCAUAUCCAAAUCUGAACAACAUCUGGUUGUUUUUUAAUUUGUUUUAUUCUACCUUAUAGGCAAGAGACUAAUGUUGGUUUCUUCGAACCCUUGAUUUAGACAAGUUCGGAUGACAGCAUAUUAGCGCUGAGUACAGGGUAUCUUCUAGUCGGCCAACCUCGUCUAAGGCACUCCUACUGCAGAUUUUUUUACAACCUAGGCAGACGGACAAAAAGCACGUGGAGAUUACGUUACACAAUCGUAAAGGAGAAAAGCUGCAGAGAAAAGAAAGAAAGAAAGGAAACACAAGCAUAACAAAGAAAUAUGCAAAACAGAUGAAUUGGGGAUAAAGGCGCGCACAGAAACAAAAAGAAAAAAAAUGAUGGAAAAAAAAAACUCUGAAAUCGUUAUAAAAAUUGUAACUUUAUUUUACCGCCGGGACAACUUUUAGAUAUAC
This is a long non-coding RNA of Drosophila montana, 920 nucleotides long. RefSeq lists it as uncharacterized. The transcript has 2 exons. NCBI's taxonomy places the organism in Eukaryota, Metazoa, Arthropoda, Insecta, Diptera, Drosophilidae. The record is from RefSeq and is a predicted model, not a curated record.